GACGAACGCUGGCGGCGUGCUUAACACAUGCAAGUCGAGCGGUAAGGCCCUUUCGGGGGUACGACGAGCGGCGAACGGGUGAGUAACACGUGGGUGACCUGCCCUUAGCUCUGGGGAUAAGCCUGGGAAAACGUGGGUCGUAAAUAACCGGAUAUGACUCCAUAACGCAUGUUGUGGGGUGGAAAGCCUUGUGCGGCUAGGGAUGGGCCCGCGGCCUAUCAGCUUGUUGGUGGGGUGAUGGCCACCAAGGCGACGACGGGUAGCCGGCCUGAGAGGGCGACCGGCCACACU
This 291-nucleotide ribosomal RNA is filed under the name uncultured bacterium. RNAcentral's name for it is "partial 16S ribosomal RNA". It matches the Rfam family "Bacterial small subunit ribosomal RNA", at positions 28 to 314 of the family's 1533-position model. The record is from RNAcentral.